CUGCCUGAGCUGGUGCUGGACCCGAGAAGUUCAGUGAUGGCCGGAGAGCGGGAGAGGCCUCAGCGAUGGAGCGGGGAGUGUUGGUAGCAAAGAGGCUUUGGGCCGAGUGAAGUAUUGGGGAUGGGUGAGCAAUAUCUGCGAGCCCGUGUUUCUCCCGAAUUCCGUGGUCCACGGCAGAGACCUGGUGGGUAAAAAGCCAGAGGUUGAGGGGGGACUGAGGGAAGCUGGUGAAGGACGUGUGUUAGCUGGCCACGGGCGCACAUUGAACAGUCUCCUCUCACACCCGCCCCCUCCACAGUGCCCGUCCAAAAUCAUUGCAUCUCCCCCCUGGAGCUUUGAACAAAUGGUUGCUGAGGAGGGUUCCUUUCCCUCCCAUCGCCCUCACACUGCUCCAUGUCCAUCCUUUCCCAGGACACUGAGCCAGGAGUUGGAUUGGAUGAGCGCAGUUUUGUUACAGCUUGUUUUACACAGCCACCCGUGUCUGGUUUAAAUCUCUUGCACAUGGAUCCAUUGGGGAGUUUUCCAUAGCUACAUAUGCCCAACUCAAAAACUCUUGGACACAGAUCCAUUGGGGGGUUUUCCAUAGCCACCUAUGCCCAAGUCAAAAACCUGGAUGUGCACUGACUGGGGAAGACUACGGGAUGGGAAUGUUUUUAGCCAAAAGCACAUGAAUCUGAACAGCUCGGGAGAUGGUUAAACAAAGUCUUUUCUAAGUGGAUGCUGCUCCGGGAGAGUGAAUUAGGAUCUCUUCUCCCACCCAAUCCGCAAGGGAACAGAAUAGGGGUGAGGUGGCAGCCAGAGGAUCUCUUUUUGGAGUUAGGCGUGGCGUGCAGCAGGUGACCCUGACCAUCAGACGGGGCCCAACAGGUGUAAGCGGCCCCGCGGCUCCGCUGCCCUCAGGAGCCGCCGCCAUGUUGCUUUGGGGAAGGGGGCCCAGCUCGGCCUGCAGCGCUACGAGACAACCCCGCGUUCCCCCCUGAGGCCCCUCUCAGGCCGCUGAAGAAGCGAGCUGGAGGCUCUCGGCCAGCCCCGGGCGAUGGGUCGCCUCUCCCCGGCCAGCGGGCAGGCGCCGGAACCCGCGCACCCGCGGAACGGCAGGCGCGGGCGCGGCGGGUUGGGGGGACGGCGGUGUGUGGCACACCGCUGAAGCGCCCGGGCCUGCCGGAACGCUUCUGCUCGGCCUCGGGGAGCGAGUUCCGCGGGGGAUGUUUGUGGCGGCGCACCGGGGCGGCACAAUGGCGGCGCCCAGCGCCCGCUGCCUGUGGCGAGCAUUGGCCCCGCGGUGCGGCUGGGUCCUCCCCGGGCUGGAGCAGCGCCUCGCGGUCCCCGCCGUGGUGAGCCCCGUGACUUCCCGGCCCUACGCGGCGGCAGCAGCCAAGUGAGUGCGGGUCCGGCGUCCUGGAGGUGUUGGGGGGGUGUUUGGUGUCCGCAGUGCUGGUGUGACAGCCGCUGACCCUGGCGGCGUCCCACAGGCUCCUAGAGACUCGCAGGGAGUGUUAAUGGUUAACAGGGAAAGCUUGAGGUUGUGCUUUUGGGCUGUGCUUUUGCGCGGUGUAGCAGGGUUGCAGGUCAGCAUGAAAGCUGGUGAGCUCCUGGAGUCGAUUUGAAACCCUUCCCAUCCUUAAAGUGGCUUUUCAGUAUUUAAUUUGCCAUCUCUGUAACAGCACAUCGUGGCUGGGAG
Long non-coding RNA from Chloebia gouldiae (Gouldian finch), 1681 nucleotides. The record is from Ensembl. NCBI's taxonomy places the organism in Eukaryota, Metazoa, Chordata, Aves, Passeriformes, Passeridae.